GAUGAACGCUGGCGGCGUGCCUAAUACAUGCAAGUCGAGCGAACGGACGAGAAGCUUGCUUCUCUGAUGUUAGCGGCGGACGGGUGAGUAACACGUGGAUAACCUACCUAUAAGACUGGGAUAACUUCGGGAAACCGGAGCUAAUACCGUAUAAUAUUUUGAACCGCAUGGUUCAAAAGUGAAAGACGGUCUUGCUGUCACUUAUAGAUGGAUCCGCGCUGCAUUAGCUAGUUGGUAAGGUAACGGCUUACCAAGGCAACGAUGCAUAGCCGACCUGAGAGGGGGAACGGCCACAGAGGAAGUGAGAGACGGUCUAGAGACCGAGGGGAGGCAGAAGUAGGGAAGCGUGGGCAAUGGGGGAAAGACUGAAGGAGGGACGGAGGGCGAGUGAAGAAGGGCUGCGGAUGGUAAAACUCUGUUAUGAGGGAAGAACAUAUGUGCAAGUAACGGUGCACAAGUGGACGGUACGUAAUAAGAAAGCCACGGCUAAUUAGGU
Molecule: ribosomal RNA, 496 nt
Filed under: uncultured bacterium
Lineage: Bacteria
Description: partial 16S ribosomal RNA
Rfam family: Bacterial small subunit ribosomal RNA
Source: RNAcentral